GCCAAGGCGCAAGCUUUAUUUAGCCGAAGAGUAACAAAGAAAGAAAAUACAGUUUUUAGAUAUAAAACUCUGCUAAUAACAAUGAGUAUCUAAUUCAUAAAUGUGCUCAAAUACAUUACUGUAUUGCAAUUGGGGUCUGUUUAAUUACCAUCCAUGAAUUGUAGCACUUUCUGGUAGAGAAAUAUAUAUUUUUUUAAAUUAUAGAAACAGCCAAGGUUAUUCACUAAUGCCUUGAUUGUCGGAAUAUAAUCUGAAUGUAAAUUUUGGUCCAAAAUAGACAUAUUUUCCAUAUUGUCCAGGUCACCAAAGGUUUCAUUUCAGCUAUAUUCACUUUGAAUCCCAACAGUUCACUAAUAAUUCACACGUCCAUGAUUAACCCUGUUUAUUUCCGUUUUGUUGGAUUCAUAAAUCAGAACACAGUUUUCCCCCAGAAUACCAGACAAUGUUUCUAAUAGCAACAUUAUAGCAACAAAGCACUUUUGUCUGUCUAAUACACGUUCAUGAUGUUGGUGUGGUUAAGUAUAUAGUUCCGUUGAUUGCUCAACCAAUUUACAGUGCACAGUGACGGAAUAUGCACAGGAUUUAUACACAGAGACAAGAUAGUUAUUUAUUAUUUCAUUAUUAUUUUACCUUACUUAUGUUGGUACAUGUCUGUGCACCUAUGUAUAUGCCUAUGCACUUGGCUAAAAAUCUGUAAAACUGGGAAAUAAAAAGGAUGUGUGUAGGCAAGGAAAUGGUCUGAAAGUUUAGAAUUAGGGAUUUAAAAAUGGCGAGGGGGAUGGGGGUUUAUUGACCCUAUAAACCAGGGGUUCUCAACCCAGUCCUCAGGACCCCCUACCAGUCCAGGAUUUGGGGAUUACCUGGGUGUGUCUCAGGUGUUUAGAAAAAGGGAAAAAAACACCUUAGACUCUAAGGUGUUUUUUUUUUCUUUUUCUAAACACCUUAGACACACCCAGGUAAUCCCUAAACCCUGGACUGGUAGGGGGUCCUGAGGACUAACGUUGAGAACCCCUGCUAUAAACACAUCCCAAGGCACUCAUAAAACAUCAUCUGGAAUUAUUUAUGGAUUGCCUUAGAAACUGCAAACUCUGAAAAGUUUAACCAGGAUUGUUAAUAUGGAGUGUCACAACUAGGCAAACAACAUGUUAAGUUAGUUGCGAGGGCUGUGAGUGUUGUGUGCGUGAAAAGCAACGUCUCUGGUAGUCAGAGGUAAAUCCAAAGGAUGAAUGUGAAAUGUAUUCAAGCUCUGGUUGCUAAAGUAUAUACACAUUAACAGGGUUAUUCACUGUAGUGAGCAUUGUUGGGAAUUCAAAUUUAAGGCCAAAGUAGUCAAACUGGAAAAUGAAUCUCCAAGUCAGCUAUGCUUCGAGUUUUGGUUACUCUGGCCUUAAAGGGACACUAUAGUCACCGAAACAACUUAAGCUUAAUGAAGCAGUUUGGGGUAUUUUUCAUGCCCCUGCAUUAUCACUGCUCAAUUCUCUGCCAUUUAGGAGUUAAAUCACUUUGUUUAUGAAUCCUAGCCACACCUCCCUGCAUGUGACUUGCAUAGCCUUCCUCAAAAUUUCCUGUAAAGAGUCAUCUACAGAUUAUCAUUCCUUUAUUGCAAGUUCUGUUUAAUUUAGAUUUUCUUAUCCUCUGCUAUGUUAUUAGCUUGCUAGACCCUGCAAGAGCCUCUUGUAUGUGAUUUAAGUUCAAUUUACAGAAAAAGAGAUACAAUUGUUUAAGGUAAAUUACAUCUGAUUGAAAGUGAAACCAGGUCUUUUUCAUGCAGGCUGUGUCAAUCAGAGCCUCGGGAGGUGUGACAAUGGCUGCAUAAACAGAAAAAGUGAUUUAACUCCUAAAUGGCAGAGAAUUGAGGAGUGAAACGUGAGAAGCAUGAUGAAGCAAGUUGUUUAGGUGACUAUAGUGUUCCUUUAAAUUUAAAAAUCCAUUUGAAUUCCUGACAAUUUUCCCUUUAGUGACUAACUCUUCAAGUCUUUAGAUUGUUGAUCAGCGCAUGCUUUACAUUUGAUUGAAAGACAAUCUGAUCAUUAGAUUCUUAGCUUGCACUAAAAUAAUUACAAUCUUUAAUUCAGAGCAAUACAAUCACACAAGCACUGCAGGGACAGCACUGAUGACCUCUUAUUACAAUUUACUAUAGUCUACAGAAAGCUGUAUUUAAAAUUUCAUUUUCACUAGCACAAUAUUUAAAAGCAACAGAGAUUGGAUCAUAAAGUGAGAAUAAAACCACCAUAGCUGCCUAUGUUUCUUGUUUAGAUUAUAAUACUACCAGCUCUUUUAUCCUUUUCUCUGUCAAUCGUGUUUUUAACAUUGCUGCAGCUAUAAGCCACACCUUUGAUUUCACUGAGGGAAACUAUGCUACACUUUGGCAGGACAAGUUCUUGCAUGAUGUGCACAAACAUUGCAGAAGUCCAGAGUACUUUUUAUGUCGACUCUGAUAUCUUUCCAUGAAAAAAACCUGUACGGCAGCAGUGCAUGAGUAUUCAUGAAAAUGUUUAAGGAAUUUGGUGAACAAAUGUCAGAUUAUGGCAUUAGCAGCUUGCUGAGUAGGUUUGUUAGUGUUUUUCCAUAUGUAUGAAUUCAGCCAAAUGCGGCAUGCAUAGGGAGUAGGAAGACCUCUACUAGGUGCAAACUCAGAGUAUUCCUCUUUUGCGAACUUGCAAGCCAUUCACAGCAUUGACACUGGUUACCGCGGUAACCCUCUGAUUCCCGGAGUUCCCUGGCUCACGAGAGGACUUCAUACAGCCUGCACCCAGCAGAGGUGCAGAGUGAAACACUGGAUCUGAAUAUUCC
RNAcentral lists this long non-coding RNA (2793 nucleotides) under Pelobates cultripes (western spadefoot toad). The record is from RNAcentral. Lineage: Eukaryota; Metazoa; Chordata; Amphibia; Anura; Pelobatidae.